Molecule: ribosomal RNA, 301 nt
Filed under: uncultured bacterium
Lineage: Bacteria
Description: partial 16S ribosomal RNA
Rfam family: Bacterial small subunit ribosomal RNA
Source: RNAcentral
CAGCCGCCACGGUAAUACGUAGGUGGCAAGCGUUGUCCGGAAUUAUUGGGCGUAAAGGGCUCGCAGGCGGUUUCUUAAGUCUGAUGUGAAAGCCCCCGGCUCAACCGGGGAGGGUCAUUGGAAACUGGGAAACUUGAGUGCAGAAGAGGAGAGUGGAAUUCCACGUGUAGCAGUGAAAUGCGUAGAGAUGUGGAGGAACACCAGUGGCGAAGGCGACUCUCUGGUCUGUAACUGACGCUGAGGAGCGAAAGCGUGGGGAGCGAACAGGAUUAGAUACCCCGGUAGUCCCUGUCUCUUAUAC